GCAAGUCGAACGGCAAGAUCUCGCUUGCGAGAUACACGAGUGGCGAACGGGUGCGUAACGCGUAUGCAACCUACCUUCAACUAGAGAAUAGCCCCGAGAAAUCGAGAUUAAUACUCCAUAAUGUUCAGUUUUCACCUGAUUACUGAAUUAAAGCUCCGGCGGUUGAAGAUGGGCAUGCGUGACAUUAGUUAGUUGGUGAGGUAACGGCUCACCAAGACUUCGAUGUCUAGGGGUUCUGAGAGGAAGGUC
This 249-nucleotide ribosomal RNA is filed under the name uncultured bacterium. Its description in RNAcentral is "partial 16S ribosomal RNA". It matches the Rfam family "Bacterial small subunit ribosomal RNA", at positions 57 to 305 of the family's 1533-position model. The record is from RNAcentral.